RNAcentral lists this long non-coding RNA (951 nucleotides) under Manacus vitellinus (golden-collared manakin). Its description in RNAcentral is "lncRNA (ENSMVIG00005001752.1)". The record is from RNAcentral. Lineage: Eukaryota; Metazoa; Chordata; Aves; Passeriformes; Pipridae.
ACCCCGCCCUGGAGCAGCUCUGGAACAAGGGCAUCCCCCUCCUGGUGGAGCACCUGGAAGGUGAGGAAGGGAGGGGCUUCUCCUGGGGUCACCUUCUCCAAAAUCAGAGAAUCAGAGAGUCAGAGAAUCAUGGAAUCAGAGAAUCAGAGAAUCACAGAAUCACAGAAUCACAGAGUCACAGAAUCACAGAGUCACAGAAUCACAGAAUCAGAGAAUCACAGAAUCAGAAUCACAGAAUCACAGAAUCAUAGAAUCACAGAACACAGAAUUACAGAAUCACAGAAUCACAGUCAGAGAAUCACAGAAUCACAGACUCACAGAAUCACAGAAUCAGUCACAGUCACAGAAUCACAGAAUCACAGUCAGAGAAUCAGAGAAUCAGAGAAUCACAGUCAUAGAAUCACAGAAUCAGUCAAUCACAGAAUCAGAGAAUCACAGUCAUAGAAUCACAGUCAGAGAAUCACAGAAUCAGGGAAUCAGAGAAUCACAGAAUCACAGAAUCAGAGAAUCACAGAAUCAGAGAAUCACAGAAUCACAAAAUCACAGAAUCAGAGAAUCACAGACUCACAGAAUCAUAGAAUCACAGUCACAGAAUCAGAGAAUCAGAGAAUCACAGUCAUAGAAUCACAGACUCACAGACACAGUCAUAGAAUCACAGAAUCACAGUCAUGGAAUCAGAGAAUCACAGAAUUACAGACUCACAGAAUUACAGAGUCACAGAAUUACAGAGUCACAGACUCACGGAAUCACAGAAUCAGAGAAUCACAGUCAUAGAAUCACAGAAUUAGAGAAUCAGUAUCACAGAAUCAGAGAAUCACAGAAUCAGAGAAUCACAGAAUCAGUCACAGAAUCAUAGAAUCACAGAAUCACAGUCAUAGAAUCAGAGAAUCAGAGAAUCAGUCACAGAGUCACAGAAUCAUAGAAUCACAGUAAUAGAAUCACAGAAUCAGA